CUGGUACGUCGUAAAAUGUGACCGGAAAACCAACCGGAUAAAUGCUCUCACCGUCUUCCAAGCCAAUAUCUCCGGCCAAAUUCCGGCAGCCGUCGGAGACCUUCCAUAUCUCGAAACAUUGGAAUUUCAUCAUGUUACUAAUCUCACCGGAACAAUUCCACCUGCAAUUGCGAAGCUCACAAAUCUCAAAAUGUUAAGGCUCAGCUUCACUAACCUUACAGGUCCGAUCCCUGAAUUCCUUAGUCAGCUGAAGAAUUUGACGUUGCUCGAGUUGAAUUACAAUCAAUUUACCGGAACAAUCCCUUCUUCCCUCUCUCAGCUUCCGAAUUUGCUAGCGAUGUACUUAGAUCGUAACAAACUCACCGGAACAAUACCGGAAUCGUUUGGGAGAUUUAAAGGACCAAAUAUACCAGAUCUCUACCUUUCACACAACAGCUUGACCGGACAUGUGCCGGCAUCUUUAGGUGAUUUGAAUUUUUCCACGCUUGAUUUCUCCAGGAAUAAGCUUGAAGGAGAUGUUUCGUUUUUGUUCGGGAAGAAUAAGACGAGUCAGGUAAUUGAUUUAUCGAGGAAUUUAUUGGAGUUUGAUAUUUCGAAAUCGGAGUUUGCUGAGAGCUUGAUAUCAUUGGAUUUGAAUCAUAAUCGAAUUUUUGGUAGCUUACCACCAGGAUUGAAAGAUGUACCAUUGCAGUUUUUCAAUGUGAGUUAUAAUAGACUUUGUGGACAGAUUCCACAAGGUGGAACGUUGCAGAGCUUUGAUAUUUACUCUUAUUUGCAUAACAAAUGCCUUUGUGGCUCUCCCUUGCCGAAAUGUAAGUAGGUAUGGAGGUCGAGGAUUUAAAUAAUCGAGAAUUGUAGUAGAGGCAACUAGCCUUCUCUAGUCGUUCCUAAUCAUAUUUAGUGCUCUUUUCGCUUUUUAUAAUCCGUAUGCGAGGAUCUAAUGAAUAUAGUCUCUCUAUCAAUAAACUUAUGAAAUU
Molecule: unclassified non-coding RNA, 977 nt
Filed under: Hevea brasiliensis (rubber tree)
Lineage: Eukaryota; Viridiplantae; Streptophyta; Magnoliopsida; Malpighiales; Euphorbiaceae
Source: RNAcentral